RNAcentral lists this ribosomal RNA (253 nucleotides) under uncultured bacterium. Its description in RNAcentral is "partial 16S ribosomal RNA". It matches the Rfam family "Bacterial small subunit ribosomal RNA", at positions 524 to 776 of the family's 1533-position model. The record is from RNAcentral.
UACGUAGGGUCCGAGCGUUGUCCGGAAUUAUUGGGCGUAAAGAGCUCGUAGGCGGUUUGUCGCGUCUGCUGUGAAAUCCCGAGGCUCAACCUCGGGUCUGCAGUGGGUACGGGCAGACUGGAGUGCGGUAGGGGAGAAUGGAAUUCCUGGUGUAGCGGUGGAAUGCGCAGAUAUCAGGAGGAACACCGAUGGCGAAGGCAGCUCGCUGGGACGGUACUGACGCUGAGGCGCGAAAGCGUGGGGAGCGAACAGG